GGGCACUGGAGAAAGCUAGCUGAGCA
Molecule: non-coding RNA, 26 nt
Filed under: Cricetulus griseus (Chinese hamster)
Lineage: Eukaryota; Metazoa; Chordata; Mammalia; Rodentia; Cricetidae
Source: RNAcentral